GUAGGUGAACCUGCGGAAGGAUCAUUACGUACUGUAGGCCGGUCUGACCGGUUCUAUUCUACCCUGUUUUUUGCGCACUCUAUGUUUCCUCGGCAGGCUUUGCUUGUCGAUAGGACCUUAUUUGAAACUCCUCAUCUUAGUAUUCAGCGUCAAAAUAAUAUAAAAUUGUAACAACUUUCAACAACGGAUCUCUUGGUUCUG
This 201-nucleotide unclassified non-coding RNA is filed under the name rhizosphere metagenome. RNAcentral's name for it is "partial ribosomal RNA internal transcribed spacer region". The record is from RNAcentral.